Molecule: ribosomal RNA, 468 nt
Filed under: uncultured bacterium
Lineage: Bacteria
Description: partial 16S ribosomal RNA
Rfam family: Bacterial small subunit ribosomal RNA
Source: RNAcentral
GACGAACGCUGGCGGCGUGCUUAACACAUGCAAGUCGAACGGAAAGGCCCUGCUUUUGUUGGGUGCUCGAUUGGCGAACGGGUGAGUAACACGUGAGUAACCUGCCCUUGACUUUCGGAUAACUUCACGAAACUGGGGCUAAUACCGGAUAGUAUCUCCUGCUGCAUGGUGGGGGUUGGUAAGUUUCGGCGGUUGUGGAUGGACUCGCGGCUUCUCAGCUUGUUGGUGGGGUAGUGGUAUACCAAGGGUUUGACGGGUACCCGGCCUGAGAGGGUUACCGGCCACAUUGGGACUGAGAUACGGACCAGACUCCUACGGGAGGCAGCGGUGGGGAAUAUUGCACAAUGGGGGGAAGCCUGAUGCAGAAACGCCGCGUGCGGGAUGACGGCCUACGGGUUGUAAACAGCUUUGGCAUGUGCCGAAGAGUGAGUGACGGUAACGGGUAAAGAAGCACCGGCUAACUACGUG